RNAcentral lists this ribosomal RNA (255 nucleotides) under uncultured bacterium. RNAcentral describes it as "partial 16S ribosomal RNA". It matches the Rfam family "Bacterial small subunit ribosomal RNA", at positions 28 to 285 of the family's 1533-position model. The record is from RNAcentral.
GACGAACGCUGGCGGCGUGCUUAACACAUGCAAGUCGAGCGGAAAGGCCCUUUCGGGGGGUACUCGAGCGGCGAACGGGUGAGUAACACGUGAGUAAUCUGCCCCCCACUUCGGGAUAGCCACCGGAAACGGUGAUUAAUACCGGAUAUGACACAUGGUCGCAUGGUUGUGUGUGGAAAGUUUUUCGGUGGGGGAUGUGCUCGCGGCCUAUCAGCUUGAUGGUGAGGUAAUGGCUCACCAUGGCUUCGACGGGUA